GACGAACGCUGGCGGCGUGCUUAACACAUGCAAGUCGAACGGAAAGGCCUGCUUUCCCUUGUGGAUUGCGGGUACUCGAGUGGCGAACGGGUGAGUAACACGUGAGUGAUCUGCCCCCAACUUGGGUAUAAGCCUGGGAAACUGGGUCUAAUUCCCGAUAGGACUGCAGGGUGGUGCCUGUGGUGGAAAACGAUUUUCUAGUGGUUGGGGAUGAGCUCGCGGCCUAUCAGCUUGUUGGUGGGGUAAUGACCUACCAAGGCGGCGACGGGUAGCCGGCCUGAGAGGGUGGACGGGCACAUUGGGACUGAGAUACGGCCCAGACGCCUACGGGAGGCAGCAGUGGGGAAUAUUGCACAAUGGGCGGAAGCCUGAUGCAGCGACGCCGCGUGGGGGAUGACGGGCUUCGGGUUGUAAACUCCUUUCGACCGCGAGGAAGCCACCUGGUUGGAAGGGUGGUGACGGUAGUGGUAGAAGAAGCACCGGCUAACUACGUG
This 494-nucleotide ribosomal RNA is filed under the name uncultured bacterium. RNAcentral's name for it is "partial 16S ribosomal RNA". It matches the Rfam family "Bacterial small subunit ribosomal RNA", at positions 28 to 507 of the family's 1533-position model. The record is from RNAcentral.